This 603-nucleotide ribosomal RNA is filed under the name uncultured fungus. RNAcentral's name for it is "eukaryotic LSU rRNA". It matches the Rfam family "Eukaryotic large subunit ribosomal RNA", at positions 23 to 641 of the family's 3401-position model. The record is from RNAcentral. Lineage: Eukaryota; Fungi.
ACCCGCUGAACUUAAGCAUAUCAAUAAGCGGAGGAAAAGAAACCAACAGGGAUUGCCCUAGUAACGGCGAGUGAAGCGGCAACAGCUCAAAUUUGAAAUCUGGCGUCUUUGGCGUCCGAGUUGUAAUUUGCAGAGGGCGCUUUGGCAUUGGCAGCGGUCCAAGUUCCUUGGAACAGGACGUCACAGAGGGUGAGAAUCCCGUACGUGGUCGCUAGCCUUUACCGUGUAAAGCCCCUUCGACGAGUCGAGUUGUUUGGGAAUGCAGCUCUAAAUGGGAGGUAAAUUUCUUCUAAAGCUAAAUACUGGCCAGAGACCGAUAGCGCACAAGUAGAGUGAUCGAAAGAUGAAAAGCACUUUGGAAAGAGAGUUAAAAAGCACGUGAAAUUGUUGAAAGGGAAGCGCUUGCAGCCAGACUUGCCUGUAGUUGCUCAUCCGGGUUUUUACCCGGUGCACUCUUCUAUAGGCAGGCCAGCAUCAGUUUGGGCGGUUGGAUAAAGGUCUCUGUCAUGUACCUCUCCUCGGGGAGAACUUAUAGGGGAGACGACAUGCAACCAGCCCGGACUGAGGUCCGCGCAUCUGCUAGGAUGCUGGCGUAAUGGCUGU